Planococcus citri (citrus mealybug) is the source of this 840-nucleotide long non-coding RNA. RefSeq lists it as uncharacterized. NCBI's taxonomy places the organism in Eukaryota, Metazoa, Arthropoda, Insecta, Hemiptera, Pseudococcidae. The record is from RefSeq and is a predicted model, not a curated record. The transcript is spliced from 2 exons.
UAUACUACGUACUCGACACUUUUCUGAAAUGGGUUAUUGGGUGCAACUCGUUCCUGUGCACUCGGAAUGUAUAGGUGAGCAGAUGUUGGCGAAGUAAUUCCAAUCGUGCUGGGGUAUCCGAGAUACUUAUAUCUAGAGUUCAGAUUACACCGCCAAGACUAUAAAUAAUUCUGCAUUGAAAUGGAUGUGUUUUUCUCAUCAGCUAUACUGUAUUUGAGCAUUCACACUACUUCUGCAUUUUUUCCCUUUUUCAAUUAUGAACUGCGUGGUUUCGUAGGAAAUGUGUAUCAUCUAAGCGCAAACGUAGCAGAUCGAAAUCUUAUUCAUGACAGUGCCCAAUGUUACAUAGCCGUGAAGGACAACACCUAUCAUAGAGGUCCGGUGGAGGAAAAAUUUAAUGAAAUGUAUCACGAAAGUAGCGCCUCUGAAAUUUGUGAAUACGCGGAGAGAGCGAAGUUUUCGAAUGAAGUAGUGUUCAUGUAUGCAAUUACCAGUCCAGGUCAUGACAAAGAUAAAAAAUUAAAUAACUAUGUAUUUGCUGUACGUCAAGCUACCAGGGCAACGUUUUACUCGGACAAACAGAUUUGGGUGUCCCCACCGACCAAAUUACCACCAGUGCCACAUGGAGACACGCCGGGAGGCCUCCCAGUAGUGAAAAAUGGAUGAGAUGAUCCAAAAAUUGAAAAAUCUAAAAAAUUAAUCCUCAUCCUUUACCAACACGAACGCAAACUUUGUUGGGGAAAAGUAAAGAUGUGAUAAAUAUUUUUUUUACACACUUGUAUGUAAUUAGGACCUCUGGUGUCGAAAUUUUGCUAAUAAAACGUGACAUGAUGUUGAAAA